RNAcentral lists this long non-coding RNA (308 nucleotides) under Carica papaya (papaya). RNAcentral's name for it is "long non-coding RNA (CPAP_LNC012369)". Lineage: Eukaryota; Viridiplantae; Streptophyta; Magnoliopsida; Brassicales; Caricaceae. The record is from RNAcentral.
CUCAUCGAUGCGAGAAAACAUGUUAAGCGGCAUUAGUUGGCCGAAAAAAGUAAAAAAAGAUAAUCUUACUAGCGACAGAGUUUUUUGGUACGGCGGCUCCGCUGGUUUACCUUCACAGUUUACCUUCACAGUUGAGCGUUUUUCUUCGGUCAACCUGUAGGAAAUAAAAUGGUGAAUACAAUGGUAAAAAUUUUGCACGAAACGGGAAUCAUAAAGGAACUCAUCGGAUGAGAUUUUUUAUUUUUUAUGUGGCGGCACUGCUAGGCUUUACCCCGGAUUUUCGGCUUAUCUGCCUGUCUUUUUGCUUC